UACAAGUCUCCGUUGGUGAACCAGCGGAAGGGAUCAUUA
RNAcentral lists this ribosomal RNA (39 nucleotides) under Caespitomonium hyalinulum. RNAcentral describes it as "Acremonium hyalinulum partial 18S ribosomal RNA". The record is from RNAcentral. Lineage: Eukaryota; Fungi; Ascomycota; Sordariomycetes; Hypocreales; Bionectriaceae.